This 1528-nucleotide ribosomal RNA is filed under the name Burkholderia contaminans. RNAcentral's name for it is "bacterial SSU rRNA". It matches the Rfam family "Bacterial small subunit ribosomal RNA". Lineage: Bacteria; Pseudomonadati; Pseudomonadota; Betaproteobacteria; Burkholderiales; Burkholderiaceae. The record is from RNAcentral.
AAACUGAAGAGUUUGAUCCUGGCUCAGAUUGAACGCUGGCGGCAUGCCUUACACAUGCAAGUCGAACGGCAGCACGGGUGCUUGCACCUGGUGGCGAGUGGCGAACGGGUGAGUAAUACAUCGGAACAUGUCCUGUAGUGGGGGAUAGCCCGGCGAAAGCCGGAUUAAUACCGCAUACGAUCUACGGAUGAAAGCGGGGGACCUUCGGGCCUCGCGCUAUAGGGUUGGCCGAUGGCUGAUUAGCUAGUUGGUGGGGUAAAGGCCUACCAAGGCGACGAUCAGUAGCUGGUCUGAGAGGACGACCAGCCACACUGGGACUGAGACACGGCCCAGACUCCUACGGGAGGCAGCAGUGGGGAAUUUUGGACAAUGGGCGAAAGCCUGAUCCAGCAAUGCCGCGUGUGUGAAGAAGGCCUUCGGGUUGUAAAGCACUUUUGUCCGGAAAGAAAUCCUUGGCUCUAAUACAGUCGGGGGAUGACGGUACCGGAAGAAUAAGCACCGGCUAACUACGUGCCAGCAGCCGCGGUAAUACGUAGGGUGCGAGCGUUAAUCGGAAUUACUGGGCGUAAAGCGUGCGCAGGCGGUUUGCUAAGACCGAUGUGAAAUCCCCGGCUCAACCCGGGAACUGCAUUGGUGACUGGCAGGCUAGAGUAUGGCAGAGGGGGUAGAAUUCCACGUGUAGCAGUGAAAUGCGUAGAGAUGUGGAGGAAUACCGAUGGCGAAGGCAGCCCCCGGCCAAUACUGACGCUCAUGCACGAAAGCGUGGGGAGCAAACAGGAUUAGAUACCCCGGUAGUCCACGCCCUAAACGAUGUCAACUAGUUGUUGGGGAUUCAUUUCCUUAGUAACGUAGCUAACGCGUGAAGUUGACCGCCUGGGGAGUACGGUCGCAAGAUUAAAACUCAAAGGAAUUGACGGGGACCCGCACAAGCGGUGGAUGAUGUGGAUUAAUUCGAUGCAACGCGAAAACCUUACCUACCCUUGACAUGGUCGGAAUCCUGCUGAGAGGUGGGAGUGCUCGAAAGAGAACCGGCGCACAGGUGCUGCAUGGCUGUCGUCAGCUCGUGUCGUGAGAUGUUGGGUUAAGUCCCGCAACGAGCGCAACCCUUGUCCUUAGUUGCUACGCAAGAGCACUCUAAGGAGACUGCCGGUGACAAACCGGAGGAAGGUGGGGAUGACGUCAAGUCCUCAUGGCCCUUAUGGGUAGGGCUUCACACGUCAUACAAUGGUCGGAACAGAGGGUUGCCAACCCGCGAGGGGGAGCUAAUCCCAGAAAACCGAUCGUAGUCCGGAUUGCACUCUGCAACUCGAGUGCAUGAAGCUGGAAUCGCUAGUAAUCGCGGAUCAGCAUGCCGCGGUGAAUACGUUCCCGGGUCUUGUACACACCGCCCGUCACACCAUGGGAGUGGGUUUUACCAGAAGUGGCUAGUCUAACCGCAAGGAGGACGGUCACCACGGUAGGAUUCAUGACUGGGGUGAAGUCGUAACAAGGUAGCCGUAUCGGAAGGUGCGGCUGGAUCACCUCCUUU